RNAcentral lists this ribosomal RNA (472 nucleotides) under uncultured organism. Its description in RNAcentral is "partial 16S ribosomal RNA". It matches the Rfam family "Bacterial small subunit ribosomal RNA", at positions 334 to 797 of the family's 1533-position model. The record is from RNAcentral.
CACUCCUGCGGGAGGCAGCAGUGGGGAAUAUUGCACAAUGGGCGCAAGCCUGAUGCAGCCAUGCCGCGUGUAUGAAGAAGGCCUUCGGGUUGUAAAGUACUUUCAGCGGGGAGGAAGGCGAUAAGGUUAAUAACCUUGUCGAUUGACGUUACCCGCAGAAGAAGCACCGGCUAACUCCGUGCCAGCAGCCGCGGUAAUACGGAGGGUGCAAGCGUUAAUCGGAAUUACUGGGCGUAAAGCGCACGCAGGCGGUCUGUCAAGUCGGAUGUGAAAUCCCCGGGCUCAACCUGGGAACUGCAUUCGAAACUGGCAGGCUAGAGUCUUGUAGAGGGGGGUAGAAUUCCAGGUGUAGCGGUGAAAUGCGUAGAGAUCUGGAGGAAUACCGGUGGCGAAGGCGGCCCCCUGGACAAAGACUGACGCUCAGGUGCGAAAGCGUGGGGAGCAAACAGGAUUAGAUACCCUUGUAGUCCCA